CUUAGGGAGCUACCAUUUGAUUUCUAUGGGGGGGCUAGGAUGAAAAAUUUUGUCCUGCUUUUUUUUUUUAGUUUUAAUCUCUGUCCUGCCUUUUUAUUUUUUACUCUAUUCGGUCCUGCCUUUUUUUUUACUAGUUUAUCCUGACUUUUUUUACACCUAUUGUCAUCCUGCCUUUUUUUUUUAACAAGUUUCUCAUCCUGCCUUUUUUUUACUCAAAACUCCUGUCCUGCCUAUUUUUUUCAAAUUUCAUCCUAGCCCCCCCAUAAAAAUCAAAUGGUAGCUCCCUUAUGUAAA
RNAcentral lists this long non-coding RNA (294 nucleotides) under Mytilus galloprovincialis (Mediterranean mussel). Lineage: Eukaryota; Metazoa; Mollusca; Bivalvia; Mytilida; Mytilidae. The record is from RNAcentral.